This 119-nucleotide ribosomal RNA is filed under the name Pteropus alecto (black flying fox). Lineage: Eukaryota; Metazoa; Chordata; Mammalia; Chiroptera; Pteropodidae. The record is from RNAcentral.
GUCUACGGCCAUGCCACCCUGAACGAGCUCGACCCCUUAUGAUCUCGGAAGCUAACCAGGGUCGGUCCUGGUUAGUACUUGAAUGGGAGACCACCUAGGAAGACCAGGUGUUGUAGGCA